UAAUAUUUGACUGGGUGAGAAUUUAAAACCAUUGACUAUUAAAAUACUAGGCUAGUCAAAUUAUCAUUGAGCGCGUUUACAUGCAUGUUCUUAAGCCGAUUAUGCUUAAUAAACCGAAAACGCACGUGGUCAGGUAAACGCGGUAACCCGUUUUCUUUUAUCGGAGAUAGGUCAUAAACGGCGUAAGCAUAAACCGGUCGACACGGGUAGUUUUUUGCCUCUUACUCCGAUUUUGCGUGGCAUGUCGACGCAAUGACUCGCUUUCUGUUGGUUUAUUAAAGUGCGCAUCUGUGGUGCGUGACUGGAACGCAUGGUUAGGGCAGAUUUAAGCGCAUAUACACAGAGCAAACAUCUUGCAGUAAAGAAAGAAGGAAAUGUAUCACAAAAGCAGACUCUUCCGUGACUCAGAAAAUGAUAAAAAAUGUGUUAUCUCGUGCAGCAGAAGUAGAAGUGGUUCAGUCAAAAUGCUGUAUUUAUAGCUGUAAAUUUCUCGCUGACAUGUUGCAAGCUUUAUUUAACAUCACAACUGACAAAUGUAUGGAAUACUCGGAGUCAGAUACACAAACGAUUAUAUUUCGACAUCAAUACAGGAAAAUAACCUGAUUUAUUAAUGAAGUCAUGUAAACGCAGCUACUUGUUUUGUUAGGUUACUGAUGUGCAUGUAAACGGGGAAACUGGUUAUUUUAAUAAGCUGAUAUUUGUGCGUUAUCAGCUUACUGGUGUGCAUUGAAACGUGCUCAUUGUGACUUUUCACUUACAGGCACUCAGAGAAGGACCCAUCUGAGGGCAUUGAGGAUAGUAGCUUCAAGAGACAUAAAAAGAAGAAGAAGAAGAAAAAGAAGAGGAGGGAGGAUGAGGAGAGGCCUCACACUAGGAGAGACUUCGCUCCGAGGCGGGAAGAGCAUGAUUCUAGAGCUAGGAAUGGUGCAGAGAAAGGAAGUCUGCACCACAGCUCUGAGUCCCUUCACAAUGUCCACCGAGACCAUAUGGAGGACCAGCAACAGCUCAGUGGACACAAAGCUAAUGGCCUGAGCUGUUACAGUGGAAGUGAGCUUGAGCAUACUGGGAUGUAUAAAGACCAAUACAAAUAUUUUGAUUAUUCUACCACUGUCAACGGCACAAAGACGCUCUCAAAUGGAAGUGGAGAUGUAUGUCACAGGACCCUUUCAGAUGUUGAAAAAGCCACACAUCCUCACUAAAGACUCUGAAAACCACCCAUGCAAGCAUGUGAAAAACAAAAUCUACAGCUACAGUUCCUGACAUGGUGCUUAACAUUUAGAACAUACUGUAUUUUUACCACGAGAUGAAUUUUAAAGUUUU
This 1320-nucleotide long non-coding RNA is filed under the name Sinocyclocheilus grahami. RNAcentral describes it as "lncRNA (ENSSGRG00000008886.1)". Lineage: Eukaryota; Metazoa; Chordata; Actinopteri; Cypriniformes; Cyprinidae. The record is from RNAcentral.